RNAcentral lists this ribosomal RNA (894 nucleotides) under Triticum aestivum (bread wheat). RNAcentral describes it as "partial small subunit ribosomal RNA". Lineage: Eukaryota; Viridiplantae; Streptophyta; Magnoliopsida; Poales; Poaceae. The record is from RNAcentral.
AUGGCGCUCGUACGCGGUCGGCCAGCCUCCCUCCUACUCCUCGCGGCUCUCCUCUGCGCCGCAACCUUCCUUGCCGUCCCGGCCGCGGCCACGGGGAAGACCGGCCAGGUGGCCGUGUUCUGGGGUAGGAACAAGAACGAGGGGUCCCUCCGCGAGGCCUGCGACACCGGCACCUACACCAUCGCCAUCAUCUCCUUCCUCGACGUCUUCGGCCGCGGCAACUACCACCUCGACCUGUCCGGCCACGACGUCUCCGCCGUCGGCGCCGACAUCAAGCACUGCCAGUCCAAGAACAUCCUCGUCUUCCUCUCCAUCGGGGGCUUCGGCAACCAGUACUCCCUGCCCACCGCCCAGUCCGCGGCGGACGUCGCCGACUACAUCUGGAACGCCUACAUGCUCGGCACCCGCAAGGGCGUCUACCGCCCGUUCGGCGACGCCUUCGUCGAUGGCAUCGACUUCUUCAUCGAGAACGGCGCGCCGGCCAACUACGACGAGCUGGCCAAGCGGCUCUGGAACUUCAACAAGGACUUCCGCGGCAGGACGCCGGUGCAGCUGACGGCCACGCCGCGGUGCGGCUACCCGGACCGGCACGUGGAGUGGGCGCUCGCCACGGGGCUCGUCGGACGCAUCUUCGUCAGGUUCUACGACGACGCCGACUGCGCCGCCAACUGGCAGCGACAGUGGGACAAGUGGACGGCGGCGUACCCGUCGGCGCAGAUCUACCUCGGGCUGCCGGCGUCGGAGCAGAAGGUCGGUUACGUUCACCCAAAGAACCUCUACUACAGCGUCAUACAGGUGGCGCAGAAGGCGGCCAACUACGGCGGCGUCAUGGUGUGGGAACGCUACGAGGACAAGCGGACCAACUAUAGCAGCUACGCUAUCCAAUGGGCUUGA